Molecule: transfer RNA, 73 nt
Filed under: Felis catus (domestic cat)
Lineage: Eukaryota; Metazoa; Chordata; Mammalia; Carnivora; Felidae
Rfam family: tRNA
About the family: Transfer RNA (tRNA) molecules are approximately 80 nucleotides in length. Their secondary structure includes four short double-helical elements and three loops (D, anti-codon, and T loops).
Source: Rfam by way of RNAcentral
GCCUGGCUGGCUCAGUCAGAAGAGCAUAUGACUCUUGAUCUUAGAGUUGUGAGUUCAAGCCCCUCUUUGGGUG